Molecule: long non-coding RNA, 1127 nt
Organism: Dermochelys coriacea (leatherback sea turtle)
Lineage: Eukaryota; Metazoa; Chordata; Testudines; Dermochelyidae
Exons: 2
Source: RefSeq, a predicted model, not a curated record
CUGGCCCAAUACCUGCCAGACUGUGGGCCCUGUUAGAAAGGGUCUAGAGGGUGUGAAGGGCGAGAAGGGAAGUGGCCCAAGAACAGUUAGAGAAGGGGAGAAAAGGAGGGCAAGGAGGCUGCCACUGGAGGGUCCCUGGGUUGGGACCCAGAGUAGUGGGUGGGCCUGGGUCCCCCCCAUUCCUCCUUGUACAGCACCUGGCUGUGGAAGAGUGGCUGUGACAGACUGCAACUGGCCCUUGAACAGAGGGGCUAGGCUCGAGGGGUUGUGGUUGGCCACUGCGGCAGGAGUGAAGGAGUGAACUGGCAGGACUGCUGUUAAACCUCCCCGCUGGAAGGGGGCAAGUGUGGACUUGAGGGCACUGCCGGAGGGCAGUGUCCUGAAGAGGUCACCGCGAGCUGGGAGCAAUGUGGGUCAAGAAGCCAAUCAAGGGCGAGAGACGGAAGGGACACCGCUGGCAGACGGCGCUCUGCAUGAACUGAGCUAAUUCCCAGAGUGAACAGCAGGAGGCACUGUGGUGCUUCUGCAGAUGUGGUCUUCUGGGGAGCCCUCUACACAAUGGCAGAACACCUCCAUCAGAGAAGGAAGUGACCAAGGAAGAGCAAGGAGGACAUGUUCUGAGAGGUGAUCCAAUCCUCAGAGGCCGAAAAAAGAGAACACAGGGAGUGUAGAGAGACUUUGAAGGAAAAAUUUAAAAUAGAAAGGCAGGACAGAAAGGAGAGUGAGGAGCAAAUUGUAAAGGGCCAGGAGCAGAUGAUAAAAGUGAUGGAGCAGCAAAGAGAUGUUGAAGUCCCUCAUCACAAUCUAGCAGAACAGAUGUUUCCCCUGCCUGCCAAUACAGAACUGCUUUCCAUGCCCUCCCCAAAUUCCUCCCACACAUUUCUUGCAACUUCCUUGAAUGUCUCAGUACCCCAUUCACUCCACCCCUUCAGACAGCUGAUAGCUGCACUUACACCCAGUAUGAGAGACUACACUGCCCUGCACUCUUAUCUCCCUCCCCACCAAGCCUUUUUUGUCUGUUCUUAAUUGGCAUUUAAUAAAAACAAACUCUCUGAGAGAUAACUAAUCUUUAUUUGUCUCCUACACAAGAUGUUUGCUGCUGGUAGUAAUAAACAAUGGCAAUUUGA